RNAcentral lists this ribosomal RNA (252 nucleotides) under uncultured bacterium. RNAcentral's name for it is "partial 16S ribosomal RNA". It matches the Rfam family "Bacterial small subunit ribosomal RNA", at positions 524 to 775 of the family's 1533-position model. The record is from RNAcentral.
UACGUAGGUGGCAAGCGUUGUCCGGAUUUACUGGGCGUAAAGGGUAUGCAGGCGGGUUGUUAAGUAGCAAGUGAAAGGGCGGAGCUCAACUCCACCACGGCUUGCUAUACUGGCAGCCUUGAGUAGCGGAGAGGAAGAGGGAACUCCACGUGUAGCGGUGAAAUGCGUUGAGAUGUGGAGGAACACCAAUGGCGAAAGCACUCUUCUGGACGACUACUGACGCUGAGAUACGAAAGCCAAGGGAGCGAACAG